UUUGCCUUUCGGUACGGGAUAACGUCUGGAAACGGACGCUAAUACCGUAUGAUGUCUACGGACUAAAGAUUUAUCGCCGAGAGAUGAGCCCGCGUAGGAUUAGGUAGUUGGUGGGGUAAUGGCCUACCAAGCCUACGAUCUUUAGCUGGUCUGAGAGGACGAUCAGCCACACUGGAACUGAGACACGGUCCAGACUCCUACGGGAGGCAGCAGUGGGGAAUAUUGGACAAUGGGGGCAACCCUGAUCCAGCCAUGCCGCGUGAGUGAAGAAGGCCUUAGGGUUGUAAAGCUCUUUCGCUAGGGAAGAUAAUGACGGUACCUAGUAAAGAAGUCCCGGCUAACUCCGUGCCAGCAGCCGCGGUAAUACGGAGGGGACUAGCGUUGUUCGGAAUUACUGGGCGUAAAGAGUACGUAGGCUGUUUGUCAAGUUGGGUGUGAAAGCCCGGGGCUCAACCCCGAACUGCACUCAAAACUGGCAGGCUAGAGAUCGGAAGAGGUAAGUGGAAUUCCCAGUGUAGAGGUGAAAUUCGUAGAUAUUGGGAAGAACACCAGUGGCGAAGGGGCUUACUGGUCCGAUACUGACGCUGAGGUACGAAAGCGUGGGGAGCAAACAGGAUUAGAUACCCUGGUAGUCCACGCCGUAAACGAUGAAUGCUAGUUGUUGGGAGGUUUACCUUUCAGUGACGCAGCUAACGCAUUAAGCAUUCCGCCUGGGGAGUACGGUCGCAAGAUUAAAACUCAAGGAAUUGACGGGGGCCCGCACAAGCGUGGAGCAUGUGGUUUAAUUCGAAGCAACGCGCAGAACCUUACCAGCCCUUGACAUGGGUAGUAUGAUUACCAGAGAUGGUUUUCUUCAGUUCG
RNAcentral lists this ribosomal RNA (861 nucleotides) under uncultured bacterium. RNAcentral describes it as "bacterial SSU rRNA". It matches the Rfam family "Bacterial small subunit ribosomal RNA", at positions 125 to 1023 of the family's 1533-position model. The record is from RNAcentral.